GUCAUCGGAAUGGGUACAAUUUAAACCCUUUAACGAGUAUCAAGCAGAGGGCAAGUCUGGUGCCAGCAGCCGCGGUAAUUCCAGCUCUGCAAAUACAUAGAAUUAUUGCUGCGGUUAAAAAGCUCAUAGUUGGAUUCGUAUCGAUACCUUGGAACCCUUCGGGUGUCUCUGGGUGUUAUCGAUUUAUCGUAAUGUUCGGUUUUGAGUCCUUAACAGGAUUCUUAACAGGCAUUGCAAGUUUACUUUGAACAAAUCAGAGUGCUUCAAACAGGCGUUUUCGCUUGAAUGAUCGUGCAUGGAAUAAUAGAAAAUGAUUUCGGUUCAGUUUUAUUGGUUUUACGGACUGAGAUAAUGGUUAACAGAGACAAACGGGGGCAUUUGUAUGGUCCCGUGAGAGGUGAAAUUCUUGGACCGUGGCCAGACAAACUACAGCGAAAGCAUUUGCCAAGAAUGUUUUUAUUAAUCAAGAACGAAAGUCAGAGGUUCGAAGGCGAUCAGAUACCGCCCUAGUUCUGACCGUAAACGAUGCCAACUAGCGAUCCGCCGAUGGAAAUUAUAUUGCCUUGGUGGGGAGCUUCCCGGAAACGAAAGUCUUCCGGUUCCGGGGGGAA
RNAcentral lists this ribosomal RNA (611 nucleotides) under Meloidogyne sp. AC-2011. RNAcentral describes it as "SSU rRNA". It matches the Rfam family "Eukaryotic small subunit ribosomal RNA", at positions 505 to 1123 of the family's 1831-position model. Lineage: Eukaryota; Metazoa; Nematoda; Chromadorea; Rhabditida; Meloidogynidae. The record is from RNAcentral.